UACGGAGGGUGCAAGCGUUAUCCGGAUUCACUGGGUUUAAAGGGUGCGUAGGCGGGCAGGUAAGUCAGUGGUGAAAUCUCCGGGCUCAACCCGGAAACUGCCAUUGAUACUAUUAGUCUUGAAUUUUGUUGAGGUAGGCGGAAUAAGUCAUGUAGCGGUGAAAUGCUUAGAUAUGACUUAGAACACCAAUUGCGAAGGCAGCUUGCUAAACAAACAUUGACGCUGAGGCACGAAAGCGUGGGGAUCAAACAGG
This 253-nucleotide ribosomal RNA is filed under the name uncultured bacterium. RNAcentral describes it as "partial 16S ribosomal RNA". It matches the Rfam family "Bacterial small subunit ribosomal RNA", at positions 524 to 776 of the family's 1533-position model. The record is from RNAcentral.